UACGGGGGGGGCAAGCGUUGUUCGGAAUUACUGGGCGUAAAGGGCGCGUAGGCGGCCAUCUAAGUCAGACGUGAAAUCCCUCGGCUCAACCGAGGAACUGCGUCUGAUACUGGAAGGCUUGAAUCCGGGAGAGGGAUGUGGAAUUCCAGGUGUAGCGGUGAAAUGCGUAGAUAUCUGGAGGAACACCGGUGGCGAAGGCGGCAUCCUGGACCGGUACUGACGCUGAGGUGCGAAAGCGUGGGGAGCAAACAGG
RNAcentral lists this ribosomal RNA (253 nucleotides) under uncultured bacterium. RNAcentral's name for it is "partial 16S ribosomal RNA". It matches the Rfam family "Bacterial small subunit ribosomal RNA", at positions 524 to 776 of the family's 1533-position model. The record is from RNAcentral.